RNAcentral lists this ribosomal RNA (497 nucleotides) under uncultured bacterium. Its description in RNAcentral is "partial 16S ribosomal RNA". It matches the Rfam family "Bacterial small subunit ribosomal RNA", at positions 28 to 507 of the family's 1533-position model. The record is from RNAcentral.
GAUGAACGCUGGCGGCGUGCCUAAUACAUGCAAGUCGAGCGAACAGACGAGGAGCUUGCUCCUCUGACGUUAGCGGCGGACGGGUGAGUAACACGUGGAUAACCUACCUAUAAGACUGGGAUAACUUCGGGAAACCGGAGCUAAUACCGGAUAAUAUAUUGAACCGCAUGGUUCAAUAGUGAAAGACGGUUUUGCUGUCACUUAUAGAUGGAUCCGCGCCGCAUUAGCUAGUUGGUAAGGUAACGGCUUACCAAGGCAACGAUGCGUAGCCGACCUGAGAGGAUGAGCGGCCACACUGGAACUGAGACACGGUCCAGACUCCUACGGGAGGCAGCAGUAGGGAAUCUUCCGCAAUGGGCGAAAGCUUGACGGAGCAACGCCGCGUGAGUGAUGAAGGUCUUCGGAUCGUAAAACUCUGUUAUUAGGGAAGAACAAAUGUGUAAGUAACUAUGCACGUCUUGACGGUACCUAAUCAGAAAGCCACGGCUAACUACGUG